AGCAGUCGCCGCGGUAAUACAGAGGGUGCAAGCGUUAAUCGGAAUUACUGGGCGUAAAGCGCGCGUAGGUGGUUCGCCAAGUUGGAUGUGAAAUCCCCGGGCUCAACCUGGGAACUGCAUCCAAAACUGGCGAGCUAGAGUAUGGUAGAGGGUGGUGGAAUUUCCUGUGUAGCGGUGAAAUGCGUAGAUAUAGGAAGGAACAUCAGUGGCGAAGGCGACCACCUGGACUGAUACUGACACUGAGGUGCGAAAGCGUGGGGAGCAAACAGGAUUAGAUACCCGCGUAGUCCCUGUCUCUUAUAC
This 303-nucleotide ribosomal RNA is filed under the name uncultured bacterium. Its description in RNAcentral is "partial 16S ribosomal RNA". It matches the Rfam family "Bacterial small subunit ribosomal RNA", at positions 507 to 807 of the family's 1533-position model. The record is from RNAcentral.